GACGAACCGUGCGAACGUUAUUCGGAAUCACUGGGCUUAAAGCGCGUGUAGGCGGGAGGGCACGUCCGUCGCUGAAAUCCCCCGGCUCAACCGGGGAACGGGCACGGAUACGACCUUCCUGGAGGGGCGUAGGGGGACCUGGAACUUCCGGUGGAGCGGUGAAAUGCGUUGAGAUCGGAAGGAACGCCCGUGGCGAAAGCGAGGUCCUGGACGCCUGCUGACGCUGAGACGCGCAAAGGCCAGG
This 244-nucleotide ribosomal RNA is filed under the name uncultured bacterium. RNAcentral's name for it is "partial 16S ribosomal RNA". It matches the Rfam family "Bacterial small subunit ribosomal RNA", at positions 524 to 766 of the family's 1533-position model. The record is from RNAcentral.